GAGGCCGAGGCGGGCGGAUUACAAGGUGAGGAGUUCGAGACCAGCCUGACCAACAUGGUGAAACCCCGUCUCUACUAAAAAUACAAAAAUUAGCUGGGCAUGGUGGGGUGUGCCUGUAAUCCCAGCUAUUUAGGAAGCUGAAGCAGGAGAAUCACUUGAACCCGGGAGGUGGAGGUUGCAGCGAGCUGAGAUUGCACCACUGCACUCCAGCCUGGGCGACAGAGCAAGACUCCAUCUCAAAAAAAAAGAAAUCAGGUUAUUUGGAGGUAAAUCCUCCAUUUUCAUUGAUAUGGAUGUGAGUGA
RNAcentral lists this long non-coding RNA (303 nucleotides) under Homo sapiens (human). RNAcentral describes it as "non-protein coding lnc-EBLN1-2:1". The record is from RNAcentral. Lineage: Eukaryota; Metazoa; Chordata; Mammalia; Primates; Hominidae.